RNAcentral lists this ribosomal RNA (756 nucleotides) under uncultured archaeon. Its description in RNAcentral is "bacterial SSU rRNA". It matches the Rfam family "Archaeal small subunit ribosomal RNA", at positions 1 to 764 of the family's 1478-position model. The record is from RNAcentral.
UUCCGGUUGAUCCUGCCGGACCUGACUGCUAUCGGAUUGAUACUAAGCCAUGCGAGUCAUUGUAGCAAUACAAGGCAGACGGCUCAGUAACGCGUAGUCAACCUACCCUAUGGACGGGAAUAACCUCGGGAAACUGAGUAUAAUGCCCGAUAGAACAUUAUGCCUGGAAUGGUUUAUGUUCCAAAUAAUUUAUUGCCGUAGGAUGGGACUGCGGCCUAUCAGUUUGUUGGUGAGGUAAUGGCCCACCAAGACUAUUACAGGUACGGGCUCUGAGAGGAGUGGCCCGGAGAUGGGUACUGAGACACGGACCCAGGCCCUAUGGGGCGCAGCAGGCGAGAAAACUUUGCAAUGUGCGAAAGCACGACAAGGUUAAUCCGAGUGGUUUCUGCUAAAGGAACCUUUUGUUAGUCCUAGAAACACUAACGAAUAAGGGGUGGGCAAGUUCUGGUGUCAGCCGCCGCGGUAAAACCAGCACCUCAAGUGGUCAGGAUGAUUAUUGGGCCUAAAGCAUCCGUAGCCUGCUCUGUAAGUUUUCGGUUAAAUCUGUACGCUCAACGUACAGGCUGCCGGGAAUACUGCAGAGCUAGGGAGUGGGAGAGGUAGACGGUACUCGGGAGGAAGUGGUAAAAUGCUUUGAUCUCUCGAUGACCACCUGUGGCGAAAGCGGUCUACCAGAACACGUCCGACGGUGAGGGAUGAAAGCUGGGGGAGCAAACCGGAUUAGAUACCCGGGUAGUCCCAGCUGUAAACUAUGUA